GCAAUGCCGCGUGUGUGAAGAAGGCCUUCGGGUUGUAAAGCACUUUUGUCCGGAAAGAAAACGUUCGAGCUAAUAUCUUGAGCGGAUGACGGUACCGGAAGAAUAAGCACCGGCUAACUACGUGCCAGCAGCCGCGGUAAUACGUAGGGUGCGAGCGUUAAUCGGAAUUACUGGGCGUAAAGCGUGCGCAGGCGGUCUGUUAAGACCGAUGUGAAAUCCCCGGGCUUAACCUGGGAACUGCAUUGGUGACUGGCAGGCUUUGAGUAUGGCAGAGGGGGGUAGAAUUCCACGUGUAGCAGUGAAAUGCGUAGAGAUGUGGAGGAAUACCGAUGGCGAAGGCAGCCCCCUGGGCCAAUACUGACGCUCAUGCACGAAAGCGUGGGGAGCAAACAGGAUUAGAUACCCUGGUAGUCCACGCCCUAAACGAUGUCAACUAGUUGUUGGGGAUUCAUUUCCUUAGUAACGUAGCUAACGCGUGAAGUUGACCGCCUGGGGAGUACGGUCGCAAGAUUAAAACUCA
This 520-nucleotide ribosomal RNA is filed under the name uncultured bacterium. RNAcentral describes it as "bacterial SSU rRNA". It matches the Rfam family "Bacterial small subunit ribosomal RNA", at positions 391 to 903 of the family's 1533-position model. The record is from RNAcentral.